Long non-coding RNA from Mastomys coucha (southern multimammate mouse), 650 nucleotides. RefSeq lists it as uncharacterized. The record is from RefSeq and is a predicted model, not a curated record. NCBI's taxonomy places the organism in Eukaryota, Metazoa, Chordata, Mammalia, Rodentia, Muridae. The transcript is spliced from 5 exons.
AGAAUCUGCACUGAAAAAGGUUUACAGGAGGUGGUUGAAAAAUGGCCAGCAAUUGUUCAGAACCAAUUACAUCAUGUUCAGCUGCUGAUAUGUGGAAGUCUUGGUUUGGUUUGAUCCCCACACCAGGCUCCAUUUCCUGCUCCCUGUAUUCAGCUCACAGAUGGCACUCUCCCAGGAUUGUUUGCUGUUCCUGGAACACACAGAGCACUAUAAAAUCAGGGCUGACCAUUUGAGGAUGGAUAACCAAUUGCUGUGCUCUUUCAGGAGAAAAACUCUUUCUUCCACGUUCAGCUUUUUAUAAUGUUAACUUUCCUAAAUCUAAGCAGCAUUAUGAAAACCAGCCUUGGCUCAUUCAAGGGAGAAGAGACCAGCUAUGACCACGUGGAGAGAGAGAGAGAAAGGAGAAGAGAGGAGAAGAAGAGAAAGGACAAGAAAGCAAGAGAGCAAGAGGGGAAGCAAGAGAGAGAAGAGGAGGCAAACUGCCCCUUAUAUUGUGAGGCAGAAACUAUCACCCACUGAGUCACCGGAGUUUCAGACCUGUACUCAACCAGGACUAGGUUGCCUGAACAGACCACUUCUCCACAGGCCAAUCCAUAAUAGAUGAAAACUUCCAAAACUCUGAAUUACAAUAAACUUGUUUUCUUUACAAA